This 466-nucleotide ribosomal RNA is filed under the name uncultured bacterium. RNAcentral's name for it is "bacterial SSU rRNA". It matches the Rfam family "Bacterial small subunit ribosomal RNA", at positions 917 to 1382 of the family's 1533-position model. The record is from RNAcentral.
GGACCCGCACAAGCGGUGGAUGAUGUGGAUUAAUUCGAUGCAACGCGAAAAACCUUACCUACCCUUGACAUGUUCAGGACCCUGCUGAGAGGUGGGGGUGCCCGAAAGGGAACUGAAACACAGGUGCUGCAUGGCUGUCGUCAGCUCGUGUCGUGAGAUGUUGGGUUAAGUCCCGCAACGAGCGCAACCCUUGUCGUUAAUUGCCAUCAUUUGGUUGGGCACUUUAACGAGACUGCCGGUGACAAACCGGAGGAAGGUGGGGAUGACGUCAAGUCCUCAUGGCCCUUAUGGGUAGGGCUUCACACGUCAUACAAUGGUCGGUACAAAGGGUUGCCAACCCGCGAGGGGGAGCCAAUCCCAGAAAGCCGAUCGUAGUCCGGAUUGCAGGCUGCAACUCGCCUGCAUGAAGUCGGAAUCGCUAGUAAUCGCGGAUCAGCAUGUCGCGGUGAAUACGUUCCCGGGUCUU